AAACUGGGAUUAGAUACCCCACUAUGCUUAGCCUUAAACCUAAAUAAUUUCCUAACAAAAUUAUUCGCCAGAGAACUACGAGCCAGAGCUUAAAACUCAAAGGACUUGGCGGUGCUUUAUACCCGCCUAGAGGAGCCUGUUCUAUAAUCGAUAAACCCCGAUAAACCUUACCACUCUUUGCCAACUCAGCCUAUAUACCGCCAUCUUCAGCAAACCCUAAAAAGGAGCAAAAGUAAGCUUAAUCAUCACCAUAAAAACGUUAGGUCAAGGUGUAGCCUAUAGAGUGGAAAGUAAUGGGCUACAUUUUCUACUUUAGAACACACGAAAGCCCCUAUGAAACCCUAGGAGCCAAAGGAGGAUUU
RNAcentral lists this ribosomal RNA (362 nucleotides) under Lepus europaeus (European hare). RNAcentral describes it as "partial 12S ribosomal RNA". It matches the Rfam family "Bacterial small subunit ribosomal RNA", at positions 769 to 1333 of the family's 1533-position model. The record is from RNAcentral. Lineage: Eukaryota; Metazoa; Chordata; Mammalia; Lagomorpha; Leporidae.